AUCUACCUACGAUCCCGAGUCGUGGACGGAUGCCACGUUUGACGCAAUUGUAGAGAAUAUUCACAAUAUGCACAUCACACCUCCUGGAUGAGCUACGAAAA
RNAcentral lists this non-coding RNA (101 nucleotides) under Palpitomonas bilix. The record is from RNAcentral.